AUCCAGUUGACGAGUCCCCAACAGGACGAAACAAGCGUCCUGUAU
RNAcentral lists this non-coding RNA (45 nucleotides) under Schistosoma haematobium. The record is from RNAcentral. Lineage: Eukaryota; Metazoa; Platyhelminthes; Trematoda; Strigeidida; Schistosomatidae.